Molecule: ribosomal RNA, 429 nt
Filed under: Chloroflexota bacterium
Lineage: Bacteria; Bacillati; Chloroflexota
Description: Chloroflexi bacterium partial 16S ribosomal RNA
Rfam family: Bacterial small subunit ribosomal RNA
Source: RNAcentral
UGGGGAAUAUUGCACAAUGGGCGCAAGCCUGAUGCAGCCAUGCCGCGUGUAUGAAGAAGGCCUUCGGGUUGUAAAGUACUUUCAGCGGGGAGGAAGGGAGUAAAGUUAAUACCUUUGCUCAUUGACGUUACCCGCAGAAGAAGCACCGGCUAACUCCGUGCCAGCAGCCGCGGUAAUACGGAGGGUGCAAGCGUUAAUCGGAAUUACUGGGCGUAAAGCGCACGCAGGCGGUUUGUUAAGUCAGAUGUGAAAUCCCCGGGCUCAACCUGGGAACUGCAUCUGAUACUGGCAAGCUUGAGUCUCGUAGAGGGGGGUAGAAUUCCAGGUGUAGCGGUGAAAUGCGUAGAGAUCUGGAGGAAUACCGGUGGCGAAGGCGGCCCCCUGGACGAAGACUGACGCUCAGGUGAGAAAGCGUGGGGAGCAAACAGG